RNAcentral lists this ribosomal RNA (207 nucleotides) under uncultured delta proteobacterium. RNAcentral describes it as "partial 16S ribosomal RNA". It matches the Rfam family "Bacterial small subunit ribosomal RNA", at positions 568 to 774 of the family's 1533-position model. Lineage: Bacteria; Deltaproteobacteria. The record is from RNAcentral.
CGUGCAGGCGGUUCGUUAAGUCUGAUGUGAAAGCCCCGGGCUCAACCCGGGAAGUGCAUUGGAAACUGGCGAACUUGAGUACGGGAGAGGGAAGUGGAAUUCCGAGUGUAGGGGUGAAAUCCGUAGAUAUUCGGAGGAACACCAGUGGCGAAGGCGGCUUCCUGGACCGAUACUGACGCUGAGACGCGAAAGCGUGGGGAGCAAACA